Molecule: unclassified non-coding RNA, 253 nt
Filed under: uncultured fungus
Lineage: Eukaryota; Fungi
Description: sequence contains ITS1, 5.8S rRNA gene
Rfam family: 5.8S ribosomal RNA (bases 205-253)
Source: RNAcentral
UUUCCGUAGGUGAACCUGCGGAAGGAUCAUUACCGAGUUCGCGCCCCCCGGGGCCGUCCUCCACCCUGUCUAUCCUACCUCUCGUUGCUUCGGCGGGUCGCCCCCCCUUCCGCGGGGGGCCCCGGCGCCUCGCGCGCGCCCGCCGGAGGACCACACACGAACCCUGUCGUAUACGUGCCGUCCGAGUAACAUAACAAUCGUUAAAACUUUCAACAACGGAUCUCUUGGUUCUGGCAUCGAUGAAGAACGCAGC